UGUUUGUUUGCGUAUGACGUCAAGAAGACAAACGAGACGCCAGAGAAAUGCUGCAGGAAGUAAUUUCACAGCGUCUCAAAAGACAUCACCUGAACAAAGGUGUCACCACUUUAUCCACGACAUCGUCCACGAUCGCAGAGACAUGGUCCAUGAUCGGAGAGACAUUGUUGAGGAUGAGGGAGACAUCGUCCACGAUCAGAGACAUUGUCCAUGAUCGCAGAGACCUUGUCAAAGAUGAGAGAGACGUUGUCCUUGAUCAGAGACAUUGUCCCAUGCUUCGUAGAGACCUUGCGAUAGAAUCGGCGGAGACGGGGGUCACCGAUUUGACGGCACUGCCCGCGAUCAUGGAGACAUUGUUGAUGUUCACAGAGACACCGUCUAUGAUCUCAGAGACAUCGUCCACAAUCACAAAGACAUUGUCUGUGAUCACAGAGACUUUGUCCAUAAUCUCAGAGACAUUGUCCGCGAUCACAGAGACGCAGUCCACGAUCACAGAGAGCUAUCGUACAAUGAAGAAGUUCUUUGAGACCAGGACAGAGGCCUCCACGUAAUUCACAAACAGUGUCACCACUUUGUCCACGACAUCGUCCACGAUCGCAGAGACAUGGUCCAUGAUCGGAGAGACAUUGUUGAGGAUGAGGGAGAUAUCGUCCAUGAUCAGAGACAUUGUCCAUGAUUGCAGAGACCUUGUCAAAGAUGAGAGAGACGUUGUCCUUGAUCAGAGACAUUGUCCCAUGCUUCGUAGAGACCUUGCGAUAGAAUCGGCGGAGACGGGGGUCACCGAUUUGACGGCACUGCCCGCGAUCAUGGAGACAUUGUUGAUGUUCACAGAGACACCGUCUAUGAUCUCAGAGACAUCGUCCACAAUCACAAAGACAUUGUCUGUGAUCACAGAGACUUUGUCCAUAAUCUCAGAGACAUUGUCCGCGAUCACAGAGACGCAGUCCACGAUCACAGAGAGCUAUCGUACAAUGAAGAAGUUCUUUGAGACCAGGACAGAGGCCUCCACGUAAUUCACAAACAGUGUCACCACUUUGUCCACGACAUCGUCCACGAUCGCAGAGACAUGGUCCAUGAUCGGAGAGACAUUGUUGAGGAUGAGGGAGAUAUCGUCCAUGAUCAGAGACAUUGUCCAUGAUUGCAGAGACCUUGUCAAAGAUGAGAGAGACGUUGUCCUUGAUCAGAGACAUUGUCCCAUGCUUCGUAGAGACCUUGCGAUAGAAUCGGCGGAGACGGGGGUCACCGAUUUGACGGCACUGCCCGCGAUCAUGGAGACAUUGUUGAUGUUCACAGAGACACCGUCUAUGAUCUCAGAGACAUCGUCCACAAUCACAAAGACAUUGUCCGUGAUCACAGAGACUUUGUCCAUAAUCUCAGAGACAUUGUCCGCGAUCACAGAGAUGCAGUCCACGAUCAGAGAGCUGUCGUGCAAUGAGGAAGUUCUUUGAGACCAGGACAGAGGCCUUCAGGUGUCACCACUUUAUCCACGACAUCGUCCACGAUCGCAGAGACAUGGUCCAUGAUCGGAGAGACAUUGUUGAGGAUGAGGGAGACAUCGUCCACGAUCAGAGACAUUGUCCAUGAUCGCAGAGACCUUGUCAAAGAUGAGAGAGACGUUGUCCUUGAUCAGAGACAUUGUCCCAUGCUUCGUAGAGACCUUGCGAUAGAAUCGGCGGAGACGGGGGUCACCGAUUUGACGGCACUGCCCGCGAUCAUGGAGACAUUGUUGAUGUUCACAGAGACACCGUCUAUGAUCUCAGAGACAUCGUCCACAAUCACAAAGACAUUGUCUGUGAUCACAGAGACUUUGUCCAUAAUCUCAGAGACAUUGUCCGCGAUCACAGAGACGCAGUCCACGAUCACAGAGAGCUAUCGUACAAUGAAGAAGUUCUUUGAGACCAGGACAGAGGCCUCCACGUAAUUCACAAACAGUGUCACCACUUUGUCCACGACAUCGUCCACGAUCGCAGAGACAUGGUCCAUGAUCGGAGAGACAUUGUUGAGGAUGAGGGAGAUAUCGUCCAUGAUCAGAGACAUUGUCCAUGAUUGCAGAGACCUUGUCAAAGAUGAGAGAGACGUUGUCCUUGAUCAGAGACAUUGUCCCAUGCUUCGUAGAGACCUUGCGAUAGAAUCGGCGGAGACGGGGGUCACCGAUUUGACGGCACUGCCCGCGAUCAUGGAGACAUUGUUGAUGUUCACAGAGACACCGUCUAUGAUCUCAGAGACAUCGUCCACAAUCACAAAGACAUUGUCUGUGAUCACAGAGACUUUGUCCAUAAUCUCAGAGACAUUGUCCGCGAUCACAGAGACGCAGUCCACGAUCACAGAGAGCUAUCGUACAAUGAAGAAGUUCUUUGAGACCAGGACAGAGGCCUCCACGUAAUUCACAAACAGUGUCACCACUUUGUCCACGACAUCGUCCACGAUCGCAGAGACAUGGUCCAUGAUCGGAGAGACAUUGUUGAGGAUGAGGGAGAUAUCGUCCAUGAUCAGAGACAUUGUCCAUGAUUGCAGAGACCUUGUCAAAGAUGAGAGAGACGUUGUCCUUGAUCAGAGACAUUGUCCCAUGCUUCGUAGAGACCUUGCGAUAGAAUCGGCGGAGACGGGGGUCACCGAUUUGACGGCACUGCCCGCGAUCAUGGAGACAUUGUUGAUGUUCACAGAGACACCGUCUAUGAUCUCAGAGACAUCGUCCACAAUCACAAAGACAUUGUCCGUGAUCACAGAGACUUUGUCCAUAAUCUCAGAGACAUUGUCCGCGAUCACAGAGAUGCAGUCCACGAUCAGAGAGCUGUCGUGCAAUGAGGAAGUUCUUUGAGACCAGGACAGAGGCCUUCAGGUGUCACCACUUUAUCCACGACAUCGUCCACGAUCGCAGAGACAUGGUCCAUGAUCGGAGAGACAUUGUUGAGGAUGAGGGAGACAUCGUCCACGAUCAGAGACAUUGUCCAUGAUCGCAGAGACCUUGUCAAAGAUGAGAGAGACGUUGUCCUUGAUCAGAGACAUUGUCCCAUGCUUCGUAGAGACCUUGCGAUAGAAUCGGCGGAGACGGGGGUCACCGAUUUGACGGCACUGCCCGCGAUCAUGGAGACAUUGUUGAUGUUCACAGAGACACCGUCUAUGAUCUCAGAGACAUCGUCCACAAUCACAAAGACAUUGUCCGUGAUCACAGAGACUUUGUCCAUAAUCUCAGAGACAUUGUCCGCGAUCACAGAGAUGCAGUCCACGAUCAGAGAGCUGUCGUGCAAUGAGGAAGUUCUUUGAGACCAGGACAGAGGCCUUCAGGUGUCACCACUUUGUCCACGACAUCGUCCACGAUCGCAGAGACAUGGUCCAUGAUCGGAGAGACAUUGUUGAGGAUGAGGGAGACAUCGUCCACUAUCAGAGACAUUGUCCAUGAUCACAGAGACCUUGUCAAAGAUGAGAGAGACGUUGUCCUUGAUCAGAGACAUUGUCCCAUGCUUCGUAGAGACCUUGCGAUAGAAUCGGCGGAGACGGGGGUCACCGAUUUGAUCAGAGAGCUGUCGUGCAAUGAGGAAAUUCUUUGAGACCAGGACAGAGGCC
This is a long non-coding RNA of Lates calcarifer (barramundi perch), 3564 nucleotides long. RefSeq lists it as uncharacterized. NCBI's taxonomy places the organism in Eukaryota, Metazoa, Chordata, Actinopteri, Centropomidae. The transcript has 9 exons. The record is from RefSeq and is a predicted model, not a curated record.